This 488-nucleotide ribosomal RNA is filed under the name Citrobacter youngae. RNAcentral's name for it is "bacterial SSU rRNA". It matches the Rfam family "Bacterial small subunit ribosomal RNA", at positions 27 to 504 of the family's 1533-position model. The record is from RNAcentral. Lineage: Bacteria; Pseudomonadati; Pseudomonadota; Gammaproteobacteria; Enterobacterales; Enterobacteriaceae.
GAUUGAACGCUGGCGGCAGGCCUAACACAUGCAAGUCGAACGGUAGCACAGAGGAGCUUGCUCCUUGGGUGACGAGUGGCGGACGGGUGAGUAAUGUCUGGGAAACUGCCCGAUGGAGGGGGAUAACUACUGGAAACGGUAGCUAAUACCGCAUAACGUCGCAAGACCAAAGAGGGGGACCUUCGGGCCUCUUGCCAUCGGAUGUGCCCAGAUGGGAUUAGCUAGUAGGUGGGGUAACGGCUCACCUAGGCGACGAUCCCUAGCUGGUCUGAGAGGAUGACCAGCCACACUGGAACUGAGACACGGUCCAGACUCCUACGGGAGGCAGCAGUGGGGAAUAUUGCACAAUGGGCGCAAGCCUGAUGCAGCCAUGCCGCGUGUAUGAAGAAGGCCUUCGGGUUGUAAAGUACUUUCAGCGAGGAGGAAGGUGUUGAGGUUAAUAACCUCAGCAAUUGACGUUACUCGCAGAAGAAGCACCGGYUAACUCC